CAUUUCGGUCACUCACUCAACUUGGGUGUGUUACGUAAGUGAUUCGCCACAACCUCCUUGAGUGAGCGUCCGAGACA
Molecule: non-coding RNA, 77 nt
Organism: Pediculus humanus corporis (human body louse)
Lineage: Eukaryota; Metazoa; Arthropoda; Insecta; Psocodea; Pediculidae
Source: Rfam